GUUCUCUACGUAAAAAAAGUGUCGUUGUGGCACACGCAGAGAAAAUGCGUACGGAUUUGCUGGGUAUCGAUCAACUGCAUGCAGAAAACUGCCAAAUAUGGAAGGGGAAAUUCCCAGUACACAUUCCACGUGACUUCUCUAGGUGAAACGUAGAGCAGAACAGCAUUUCUUUACGUUACGGGAACGCGAAGAAAGUUCGCGUGAUUCUUUGCGUCGCGUUCCCAAAACGUAGAGCAGAACCUCCCUACUGUCCAUAUUGCCCAACGCCGUAAUCAUGGUAAUAUGGAGCAGGGAGUCGUAUUUUACGACUCCCUGAUAUGGAGUCUUCUGUGCCCUGACACCCCAUGGCAGGCCAGGGGUAGGAGUCCUACGUUGUAUGUGUCUACUACUUGAACUACUCUGCUUGUAAUACUUUGUGAACUCGCUUUAAUACUAUAAAACAAUGUAGAGAAAAUUUGUAUACGCAAUGCAAUGCAAUAAUAUUAUAUGCUCCCGUUCACAUGCACAAAAAUGAUCCUCCCCCCCCCCCCCCACAUGUACCCUCACUCCUAAAAUUUAUGCUGUUCCCAACAUGGACUCAGCACAUGCAAACGCCAUCAAUGCAGUGCAACUUGACGUAACGUCAUCAGCUACUCGAGUUACAAGCCUUGUGUUGAAGAAAAACAUCAGAAUAAAACUCAGUGUGCUGCCAGUGAGGAUUGCACAUCCCAACAUCCAUUCAUUGCCACACAGCAAGAUGAAUACCGUAUUUUCCGGAGUAUAGUGCGCACUUUAGAUGUGCUAUGUUAGGCCCUAAAUCGCAGGUGCGCACUAUGCUCCGAAUAUGAAAUGCAUGUACUUCAAUGAAGUGCGCACUAUACUCCGAAAAAUACGGUACAGUACUACUAGUAUUAAAGAGAAAUAGGAAAAGUACAGGGGGCCUAAAAUAAAAUAACUCAGACUGGACAAGUGAAGGGAUUCCAGCAGUAGCGGCAGAGACGCCUUAUUGAAUCCACGCCGUAACUUUCAUCUCAGACAUCCGCGGCACAAGUCGGAGUACUUUGAGUUCACCGCAAGAGAAAAAAAGGUCAUGCUGGAAUGGCUAGUGUCAGCCACAGUCAGUGGUCAGGCCCAGACGGUACCAUUACAACCAUAACUGUUACCGGCCAAGCAGAGCAGCGCAGCAGAGCUUGGCGUCGCGUUGGCAGGUUCACGGCUGCACGUAUCAUAGCUGCUGUGCAUUUCAAAAGGCACUCAGCGGACGGACAGUGUCCGGGGGAUGGGCUGCACCCCGUGCACUUCGGUGUCAAGUGGAUACAAGCAACAGUGUACUGGCAGUUGUCAUCAGUGACAGAGGCAAUCCCAACCACCCUUAAAUCCACUCGGACAGGUGGGAUUUGGGAAGAGGAGAUCGCCUUGUUCUGUCACCAGCAUCAUCAACUCCAUCAUCACCAACAGUAUCAUUAUCAUCACCAACGUAAUCAUCACCACCAGUAUUAGCAUCAGCAUCAUUGCCACACACUGGGCUCAUGGUGGUGCUGAGCCAAGCAUGAUCCUACCGAGCACACAAAACGCACACAGUGAACAAGCACACAAUAGCAAAGUAAAGAUAUUGGCACAUGCACUGCAACGGGCAGCAUCUAUCUAUCUACCUACGUAGAGCAGGAGUAGUACAGCAAUCUUCAAGUUACACGGAAUACCGUAUUUCCACAAAUAGUAGGCCGGUCUACUAUUUUUUCAACCUCGUCCUAACCCGGCCUUAUAAUCGAGGACGGUCUUGUAUUCAAGGACGGUCUUUUAUUCUUUCAACCCAGUUUGAAACCGGUCUUCUAUUUUUCGCCACACAGUUUUACCCCCAUUCUUCCAUUUUCUUCCACACAGUUUGAGCACGGUCUUCUACUUUUACCCACAGUUUGAGCACGGUCUUCUAUUUUUAACACAAGUUUGAGACUCAUUUAGUAGGCCCGGUCUUCUAAUCGGAGACGGUCUUUUAUUUUUUCAAUCGCCCCCUGCCCCGGCCUUGUA
Molecule: long non-coding RNA, 2004 nt
Organism: Sycon ciliatum
Lineage: Eukaryota; Metazoa; Porifera; Calcarea; Leucosolenida; Sycettidae
Exons: 2
Source: RefSeq, a predicted model, not a curated record